AUCAUGCCUUUUUGAGCUUAUUUUCUUCUUCUGCAGCUAAAACAUAAAUCACCUUUUGCACAGAAAAGUUUUCUUAUUGAGCACAGGAUUACACCAGAAACUGGAGAUGAAUAAUCCAACCCAGACUCAGAAUAACAUAAAGUAACCCUAGCAGUUCCUUCAAUUUUCUCUAUAGAGGUUCUUGCACAGCUGUAUAGCACUGUGAUCUCGGAGGCUGUCUUUAAAGGGACCAAAGUUUCUCUAAUACCAAGAGAUCAACCCCCUUCUGAGCCCUCUGUCUCCAUUAUGAAGUCAGAAAAUGAGAGCAUUGCUGCUUGCCUGGUGAAAGAUUUCUACCCUAAGAAAUUGAAGAUAUUCAUGAAUUCUGACAGUCAAACUAUAUAUGAAGCAACAUCUAUCCUCACAUCUAGUGGGAAAUACAGUGCCGUCAAAGUUGCCAAGUUGUUCUCAAAUGAACCAGUAUCUUGCUCUGUUCAACAUAACAGCAAACUUAUUAAGAAAACCCAAACAGCUGAGAAGCUGCCAGAUUUCACAUCUCCUGCUCCUGAACCGUGCAACAUUUCAAACUCUACUCUCAAAGACAAGAAUGAGGAGAAAAGUGUGAAGACACUAUCCACGGCUCUGCUGGCUUUGGAAAUUGUGCUUGCAAAGAGCAUCAUCUUCAAUGUGCUCAUGAUUGCAAGAUUAGUCUUUGAGGUUUGCAAGAAGGAGCGAGGACGGACCUGAGAAAUAAAGCUAAAUUUCUAUCAACUUUAAUUAUAUAUACUGCUUUUGAUACUGACAAUUAGUCAGCAUUUGUUGUUGCUAGGACUAAAUUUUUAACAAGCUAAUUUUGGUAACUGAAUAACAAUUGUAGAGUUACAACAACAACUUCGGAGUUAAGACUGGAGGAGAUUUGGUAUUCCCUCAAAUCUUUUCUUACCUUGUGGGGGGGGGGAACAGCCCAUCUUUUAUUCAAAUCUGCCAUGUUUCUUAGGCUAGAAAAGUAAUAGAAUGUUUGACUGCUAACUUAUACUGAUUGUGCAAGAAUUUUUGGAAGAGCUGACUGUGAAAGAUGAUGGUCUUUUUAAACAUGUCUUCCGAUGUUUUUCAUUCAUGUACUUUCCUUUCCUAUUUUUAUAUGAAAGCAAUGUUUUGUGUUUUGGUGCAUUUGCCUGCAUAAUAAAUUGUUGCACAACAAGAAUUGUUUCUUUUAACAAUAUUAAAUGAUUUUAACCUAUAAAUGGCAGAGAGACUUUCCCUCCAGAGGUGUUAGGUCCAAUCCAGCUUCAUGCUGCGGGGGAGACUUUCUGAUUUGAGGGAACAGGGAAUGGAAUAUGGGCCUUUCCUCUCUAGGGGGUGUCAGCUCCGAUCUGUGCCAAGGCAGGGAGACUGGCUGGCUCCGUGGGUGGGGAAUGAAAUACAAGACCUUUCCCAGCUGGGGGGUGUUGGUUUGAUUUUGCCCGAAGCCAGAGAGACUGGCUGGGGUGUGUGAGUAGGAUACAAGGCCUUUCUCCAGUCUGGCUGCUCAUUGGAGGGACUAGAUGUGGGGCAAAGGCAGAAGUGAGGGAAUGGGAUUUGGAGACAAUUUUAAAAAAUGAAAACAAAGAAAUUAGUUUUUUUUUUCUUUUGCUACAUGAAUAAAAUGAUGUUUCUUCCCUCUUAACCAGAGUCCAUGAAAAGCAGAUUGUUCUGGGUAUGAGCUUAUUGGCCCUCGUAA
Gopherus evgoodei (Goodes thornscrub tortoise) is the source of this 1699-nucleotide non-coding RNA. The record is from the annotation of a RefSeq genome assembly. Lineage: Eukaryota; Metazoa; Chordata; Testudines; Testudinidae.